RNAcentral lists this ribosomal RNA (301 nucleotides) under uncultured bacterium. Its description in RNAcentral is "partial 16S ribosomal RNA". It matches the Rfam family "Bacterial small subunit ribosomal RNA", at positions 509 to 809 of the family's 1533-position model. The record is from RNAcentral.
CAGUAGCCGCGGUAAUACAGAGGGUGCGAGCGUUAAUCGGAUUUACUGGGCGUAAAGCGUGCGUAGGCGGCUUCUUAAGUCGGAUGUGAAAUCCCUGAGCUUAACUUAGGAAUUGCAUUCGAUACUGGGAAGCUAGAGUAUGGGAGAGGAUGGUAGAAUUCCAGGUGUAGCGGUGAAAUGCGUAGAGAUCUGGAGGAAUACCGAUGGCGAAGGCAGCCAUCUGGCCUAAUACUGACGCUGAGGUACGAAAGCAUGGGGAGCAAACAGGAUUAGAUACCCGAGUAGUCCCUGUCUCUUAUAA